CCGGGGAUGCAAGGUAGACCCGAAACUAAUCAGUGCGUUAAUCGAGAGGUGGAGACCCGAGAUGCAUACAUUCCAUCUUUCAUGUGGAGAGUGCACUAUCACUUUGAAAGAUGUCAGUCUGCAAUUGGGAUUGCCGAUGGACGGGUACCCAGUCACCGGGUCCGUCCAAUCUAGUGAUUGAGGAACGGUGUGCUACGAGCUUUUGGGCGCUAUUCCGAAGAAAUUGGACGGAGGUAAGAUCGAGAUGGGCUGGUUACGAGACACAUUCCCAGAUCCGGAUAAAGAUUCAACCGAAAUAGAAAGAAUUUGAUAUGCUCGGGCAUAUAUUCUUCAGUUAAUUAGAGGUUAUCUGAUGCCGGACUCGUCACGGAGCCGCGUACAUCUAAGAUGGUUGCUGAAACUCGUUGAUUUUAGAGCAGCUGGUGAAUUAAGUUGGGGGUCUGCCGUCUUGGCAACGUUAUAUCGGGAGAUGUGAGGGGCGACGCGACUGGGGAAAGUAAAAAUCGGAGGUUGCCUAUCAUUACUGCAAUCAUGGGCACGGUUUCGCUUUCCAUUUCUACGUCCUCGAGUGGACCACCCAUAUACAUUUCCACUCAUAACGAGGUGGAACCAUCCGGCAAGUCAUGCUCGAUUACCUACCUCUCUUGAAGAUAUACGGCUUCUAUUAGACUAACAGUCGGAAGCACAUCUUCAAUGGACACCAUACGAGGAUCCAGCAAUUCGGGCAGUAAUUCCGGAUGAAUUCUUACAAAAUCCAAACGCUUGGCACGCAAAAGUCGCGUUGAUCAACUACGCGACCGUGGAGAUACACCAGUCAGACAAGGUGUUACGACAAUUUGGAUUUAGACAACCGAUUCCCGUGGAACCUGAGGUGUUUGACGAUCACCACAAAAUUGACCUUCGGCAAUUGAAUAUGGAUUGGCAAAAAUUCUGGUCCGAGUACUUCCAAAUAUGGGAAGAUCGGUAUGAUUAUAUACCUACUAAGGAACCGAUCAUCGUUCCGGAGUUAGCGUGCGUGUCAGAAUACAUGUCAUGGUUUAGGAUCCAUGGUAAGCCGUAUUUACUGUCGCCAGAGGAGAGGCAGCGGCAAUUACGUGUCCAAAUGGAAAGACGCGGGUCUUUAAAUCCAAGACGACAGGACGACGACGCUGGCCCCUUAACGAGGCCCAGACAAUCACCCGACCCAUCAUCAGCGGCCAUUCAAUACCAGACCCAACGAUAGCACCGACACAGUCACCCGACCCAGCAGUUCAACCGAUGAUACCUACGCAAUCGCCUUUUCAGAUGAUGCCAGGUGCGUUUCCUAGCCUUUUUAUGUAUCAUAACCCUUAUAUGUUUCCUUUUCCAAGUCUUAUGGCAGGUUGGAGCCAAUGGCCUGGUUCAGCUCCAUUUCCUGUAACGCCGAGUGGACCACCGAUGUUAGCGUGCGUGCCGGAAUACAUGCCAUAGUUUAGGAUCCAUGGCAAGCUAUAUUUACUAUCGCCAGAGGAAAGGCAGCGGCUAUUACAUGUCCAAAGGGAAAGACGCGGGCCUUUAAAUCCAAGACGAAAAGACGACGACGCUAGCCCAUCAACGAGGCCCAAACAAUCACCUGGCCUAUCAUCAGCGGCCAUUCAAUCACCAGGCCCAACGAUAACACCGACACAGUCACCCGACCCAGCAAUUCAACCGAUUAUACUCACGCAACCGCCUUUUCAGAUGAUGCCAGGUUGGAGCCAAUGGCCCGGUUCAGCUCCAUUUCCUGUAACGUCGAGUGGACCAUCGAUGUAUAGGCCAGCGAUGCACGAGGGAUCACCAGAGGGGCCGUCGGGGAGCUCUUCUUUUUACCAAUCCCCACCACCGUAUGAGUUUCAAACACAGUCGCCGUUGGUGAUACAAAUACCUCCACAUUCACUAUUCUAUCAAGGUGGCUCAUCGUCCCAACUCCGACAACCAGAUGCCCUACCGGAAGAACCAGAAUCCCCACCGGAGGAACCACAACCGUCGCCGGAAGCUAGACAAAUGAUGAAUCCAGCGCGUAACCAUCGACGGCCGCCAUGUGGCACUGAA
Molecule: long non-coding RNA, 2049 nt
Organism: Gossypium raimondii (Peruvian cotton)
Lineage: Eukaryota; Viridiplantae; Streptophyta; Magnoliopsida; Malvales; Malvaceae
Exons: 4
Source: RefSeq, a predicted model, not a curated record